Molecule: long non-coding RNA, 1041 nt
Organism: Bactrocera neohumeralis
Lineage: Eukaryota; Metazoa; Arthropoda; Insecta; Diptera; Tephritidae
Exons: 2
Source: RefSeq, a predicted model, not a curated record
AAUAAGUGACUUAUAGAGUUUUGUUUUUGUUCGUCGAGAGAGGACUUUACUUCUCAAUUGCCUACUUAGUCCGAAGUAGCACCUGUUGGCAAGAGAUAUCCUGCGUUGGAUUUCAAGGCUGACGUUGUUGCUGGUGUUGAUGCUGGUUCCUAAAUAGACGACAUUAUCUACAACUUCGAAGUUAUGACUGUCAACAGUCACGUGGGUGCAUAGUCACGACUGUUUGUUUGAUGACAGGAGAUAUUUCAUCUUGCCCUCGUUCACCACCAGACCCAUUUGCUUCGCUGCCGUAUACAUUCUGCAGAAAGCAGAACUAACGACGCUGUUGUCAAGGCCAAUGAUGUCAAUAUCAUCAGCAUACGCCAGCAGCUGUACAUUGUUAUAAAAAAUUGUACCUUCUCGGUUUAGUUCUGCAGCUCAAAUUAUUUUCUCCAGAAGGUUGAAGAAGUCACACGAAAGAUAGUCGCCUUGUCUGAAACCUCGUUUGGUAUCGAACGGCUCGGAGAGGUCCUUCCCGAUCCUGACGGAGCUUAUUUCUAGAACACUGGAGACGUGUCUUCCGUCUAUCACAACAUGAUCGAUCUGGUUGGUGGCUUUUCGAUCCGGAGACAACCAGGUAGCUUGAUGUAUUUUCUUGUGCCGGAAUCUAAUACUACAGAUAACCAUAUUUCAGGCCCCGGCGAAGUCGAUCAGCCUCAACCCAUUUGGGAAUGUUUCCUAGUGGAGGCUGAAUUUACCAACUGUUGCGUCAAAGAUACCAUUUUGCCCACCCUGGCGUUAAAGUCGCCAAGCACGAUUUUGACAUCGUGGCGGGGGUAGCCCUUAAGCAAUUAUAAUUGAUUUUAAUGUAAUGAAAGACCAUGCCCUCUAGAGAAUUUAUGAGUGGACUACUUUAUUAUACUUAUCAACGCAUUCGAUAUUUUCUCUCAACGGCUUAUAAAAACUCGAACAAAAUGUUGAUGCCACCAGAAUGCCACUUGUAAGGUGAACUCCGUCAUAUCAAAACUUUGGGAUCUGCACUUUUGUCAAGGAGUAUAUAUA